GUAUACCUUUAUCUUAAUGAUGCCUGAAUCACCUGAUUUUCCCCUAUGCGAGAAAGAGACGAAUCUUCAACAGAGAUAUAUGAAAAAAAAUCUUCGAUAUUCUUGUAGAAUUCAAAAAGCUACGUGUAAUGCACACACUGGUGGAGCUAGAAGCCGAGGUAAACAUCAUUAGUGCUAAUUGAUAACGGAACGAAAACAAAAAGUUUUGCAACAUAGGACUACAUGGUCACAAGCUAUAAGUUCUUUCCCAGUAACUAUUGCAAUUAUUUAGCAUUUAGUAGGAUUUCAUUACAUCAUAUACUCUCUAUUAAUGUUCUAAUUAUCUAUAGUUCAUCAGGUAACUUGUAAAAUUUUGCAGUUCGGGAGUUGAAGAGCCUUUAAGAUAUCAUCGCCCAAGCCAUCAACUUUAGUUAAAUAUGCACAAAAAUUAAAUUCAGAACCUAAUUACUAAAAUGAUGUUGCUAUCCUAAAAUUUAGAAACUCAAAUUCAGGUACUAAAAAUUUAAACCCAUAAAGUUCAAUCAUAGCUCCUUGUACACAUAUACAUACAUGUAUCAGCAUCUGAACGCACACACAUAUAAUAGGCUCCGGGGCGGACCUACGUGGGUGUGGGGGUUCACCCAGACCCCUCGGCAACAAAUUACAUUGUAUAUAGAGGGUAGAAAAUCUAUAUUUCGAUGCAUAUAUUAAUUUUAAACCAUCUGAACCAAAAAUAUGAGACAACUCAGUGGUACUGGGCUGCGCCGCUGCGCUACUUGGGUCGCAGGCACCACCAGUCCCACUUCGCAAGUUUGAUUCUCACUGAGGUGAGCAGGCUGCCUAAUUUUUGUUUUUAAUUCAUUUUUAAAACCCUGAGAAAAAAUUCUGAAUCCGCCACUGUAUAGGCUUGAUGCAUUGACACCCCUCAAAAAAAAAUUUAGUUUAGAAACUUCAACUAUACGACUUGUUCUUCAAUUGAGUACCUCAAUUGAUCUCAACUCAUAAUAAAGUGUUCCUACUAAACAUUUAUGAUACAAAUUUUAAAAAUUCUACGCGUGAUCUUAAAUACACAUUGCAUGAAUAAGUUAACUCUUUAAAUAUAGGCGCCUUAAAUAUAUAAUCUCCUUUAAUUAUACACAUCAUCCUCAAUUAGAAUAUAUUUGAGAUUUUAAGCUUAUUGAGAUUAAUUCGCAUAAUUAAAAAAACAACAAAUAAUGGUUAAUGACAAAAUAUAUCUAAUAACAAUACUUUAUCCCGACUCAUGCAAUACUUUAUCAUGUGUCCAUAUGUUCAACUGAAAUAAAUUAUAAUUCAAAUGUCUAAAUGAAAUUUACUUACAAGAAUAAGAGAUUGUUAGAUGUAUUAAGCCUAUAUUAUAUGCAAGAGAAGAACUGGUCUGUUUCUUCCUCUAUAUUCAGAAAUAUACUACUAAAUGUUCUGAUAUUGGUCGAGUAUAUUUCAUGUUUGAUUAGGAUUUGGGAGUACAGAUGUACAGUCACAUAAGCAGAUUGUAAAACAUAAAAUUAGUAAGUACUCCUACAGAAGAUAACAAAGCUAGCCAGGUAAAGCAUUGAAUUAAUUAAGCUGCAAUUAAUAGAACUACUAAGACGGACUAUUGGAAUAAGUUUUACCAUUAAUUAAUCCCUUACUUAACUCUAACAACAUCGGUUCCUUCCAUUUUUUUGCAAUAUAAUAUAAGCAAUCAAUUUUUCUUUAUUUUCUUACUACUACUAUUUUGCUACGUAUAAAAGUUCGAAUUAUUAUACCAGUGAUAGAAAACCGGUGAAUGUACGCGUGGCGUCGCCUGAGAAAUCGAUAGUUUCGGCCGUUUGCUGCCGUGUCUUGCCACCGUUAUUGUCACAGCCAAUCGUUAGCUUGCUGCCGCCUCCAGCCGUUAUUGUCACAGCCAAUCGUUAGCUUACUGCCGCCUCUUCUCUAUUUGCCUUUUCUUUUCUUUCAACACAUUUCGUGCACCGCCGAAAGUUUAAGUUUUGUGUACGGAUAUUC
Molecule: long non-coding RNA, 1986 nt
Filed under: Capsicum annuum
Lineage: Eukaryota; Viridiplantae; Streptophyta; Magnoliopsida; Solanales; Solanaceae
Description: long non-coding RNA (CANN_LNC001390)
Source: RNAcentral